This 79-nucleotide non-coding RNA is filed under the name unclassified sequences. RNAcentral describes it as "skipping-rope RNA". It matches the Rfam family "skipping-rope RNA". Rfam says of the family: Firmicutes, Fusobacteria, AlphaProteobacteria, Spirochaetes. Downstream gene The record is from Rfam by way of RNAcentral.
GAUAUUUGAAGUAGAGAUUGUGCUGCUACACACCCUAGGGUCAAAAGAAAUGCGGGGAGGGGCACUCCCGCCAAAUAUC